AACGUAGGGGGCGAGCGUUGUCCGGAAUUACUGGGCGUAAAGCGUGCGCAGGCGGCCCGUUAAGACAGGUGUGAAAUCCCUGGGCUCAACCUAGGAAUUGCGCUUGUGACUGGCGGGCUCGAGUACGGUAGAGGGGGGUGGAAUUCCUGGUGUAGCGGUGGAAUGCGUAGAUAUCAGGAGGAACACCGGAGGCGAAAGCGGCUAUCUGGCGCACACCUGACGCUGAGGCACGAAAGCUAGGGGAGCAAACAGG
Molecule: ribosomal RNA, 253 nt
Filed under: uncultured microorganism
Description: partial 16S ribosomal RNA
Rfam family: Bacterial small subunit ribosomal RNA
Source: RNAcentral